UUGAAUGGUCCAUUGUAUUAAUUAUGUAUUAGCAGUAUGGUCCAUUGGCAGUAUUAAUAUAAUGGUGGAAUAUGAUUCCAGUUUAUUCCACCUCUGGGUAUAUAGAAUGGACAAAUUUCUGACAUACUGUCUACAUCCAUCCUCCCCAACAUACUCAUGCGUGGAGUCAAAACAAUUUAGGCAGAGAUUCUCUCGGUCUCUGCUGGGAUUCUGUGCCCCCAUUCUUUUCCUGUGGUGAAUUAAAUUUAAAAUAAAAAAAGGAAAGAAACUCCAAUAAAAAAUGUAACAUCCCUUCCUGUGAAAAUGGAUGGUCUCUGGGGUCCACUUCCUGUCAUGCUCUCUUGAACUGCGGGGUGUCUGUUCUCAUGUCAGCCGGGAAGAAAGAAAGAAAAAAAAGCCGUGCUGCUGUUCGGGUAUUCCCAGCAGCGCUUGUUUACCGACGUCGAACAAAACAGCCGAAGAGUUUCUCCGAUUUACACAUCCACCGUGACCAAGGAAGGACUGCCCCUCAGCACUGGUAUCGGAUCUCGUUUCUCUGCGGUGCGUCUGGCGUUGUGUGACGAGCGGUACAUUCUGUACGCUUUUCCUCCGGCGCCGGUGGAGUCUACGCACCAGCAGAAAGACGCAAUUAAAAGGGUCCUGCUGACGCUGAAUGAGACUCAACGGGAGAUGACCUUCUUCUGGCAGCUCUUACGGUGGAUUAUUGUCUGGAAGUCACCUGAGAAAAACAGAGAUAAUCCUUUGCUCUUGAUCACAGGCUCCUGUCAUACCUGACUCUCUCUAAACCCCGCACUGUAUCAUCCAACCCUCUCUGUGCUACAGGGGGAAGUGGAGAGGUGGGGAUCUUCCCACUGAACAUUUUUGUGGUGAAAAGUCGAUGAAACAAUGUGUUCUGGCUACAUUAGGUUGAAAAGUGACAUUUUUCUAGCCAACAAGGACAGUCAGGCUAUAUCCAGGCAAAACCUGAGCUUCAGUAUAAGGGUUAACCUAGUCCUUUUUAUAUGAAAACAUCUCUCCGCCUUGAUUUACAUCCCUCUAGAUGUCAAAAAUUCUGGCUUUUACCCGCAGGGUUAAAGUUUUUUUUUUUUUUCCUGUUCGAUGUACAUUCUUUGAACCCUACAGAAAGAAUCAUUAGGAGGCAAAAACAAACCUGGCUUUAGGGUUUAUCAACCUAAACCUUUUGCUCUCCUUACGCCACUAUCAUCUUGAAGAUACUGCUUUUGCAAAACAAAUAGAUUUGCACUAAACCGGUGUCUUUUCUAAGGGUCUCAAAAAAUACAGAGAAAGCUUUUCACACAACUGCAGAAAACGUAAUGGCUUUUUCUCUUGGUGAAAUGGCUGUGCAAACAUUAGGUAUUCAUAAGCAAUGUUUUCUAUCACACUCAGAAACAGAAAUUGGAAGCACAUUGAAAGAAAAAGGGAAGAAAUAACCCUGAAGUAUGCACAUGUGCAUCAGCUUUCCCAGCGAGAUCACAUUUUCCUCACUCUCUCACACUCUCCCUUUUAACAGUAGUGGGGUUUAUUCAUGUUGCUGAGCCACACACAUCCACAUAAUCCAAGCCUGAAGGCUCUUUUGCUUUUGUUAUCGUUGUUGUCAUUCCCCUGCAACUGAAUUCAAGGGUCGGGGCAAGGGGGUAAAUACUGUUGCAGAGGUUCAAAUGUAAUUGCAGCCAAGUGGCUAAUACAUGCAUUAGCAGUCGCUGAGGUGCCAAGUUUUGCACAUUGUUUUACAACAAAAGUGGAUUAGUGCAAUGACUCAGAGUGUGUGGGUGCGUGUGUGUGUGUGUGUGAGUGUGUGUGUGCGUGCAUGGGCACAUGUUUGUGUCUGUCUGAGUAUACAUGCCAAUCUAUGUUUGUCUGGUGAAAUCUUUAGCUCAGGGCAAGUAUCCAGUUUGCACCAAGCCAAAAACUAUUGUUUUAAAACACUAACUGUAAUACAGAUGGUAAAAUCACUUCCAGAUUGUUCAGGCUGGCCUUUAAUCUCACUCUGUCUUUAACAGGACCAGUAUCAGUCUGGGAAAACACGUUGUGGGUGUCCAUUUUGGAUAAGC
Molecule: long non-coding RNA, 2051 nt
Organism: Anguilla anguilla (European eel)
Lineage: Eukaryota; Metazoa; Chordata; Actinopteri; Anguilliformes; Anguillidae
Exons: 3
Source: RefSeq, a predicted model, not a curated record